Prunus avium (sweet cherry) is the source of this 161-nucleotide non-coding RNA. NCBI's taxonomy places the organism in Eukaryota, Viridiplantae, Streptophyta, Magnoliopsida, Rosales, Rosaceae. The record is from RefSeq and is a predicted model, not a curated record.
GGCAGCUGAGCAUAAUGGGGUCCUCAUUGGUCCAAAGGGUGCUUCGGAAUGGUUAAAUGUUUAUCCACGAGGAAUUCAAGAUCUUUUACUCUACAUAAGGAAAAAGUAUCACAAUCCAAUUAUUUACAUUACCGAAAAUGGUGUGGAUGAGUUGAAUGAUA